AGUAGUCAAAGGAAGAAACAGCUUACAAAUUAUUUUACAAAAUAGAUAAUUGGGGCUACAAGUACCUGCACACACACACACACACACACACACACAUACAUAACUGUAAACGCAUGAGCUCUGUGUGUGUGUGUGUGUGUCCCACCACACGGUGGGAAAACGGGAAAUGGCAGACAGCAAAGUGUUGCGACAACUUAUGCCAUACACGUGCAUCGUCACUUGCUUAAUAUGAGCGAGAGAGAGAGAGAGAGAGAGAGAGAGAGAGAUAUCUCUGUGGAGUGGUGCAGAGUGGAGUGGAGUAGCAUGGAAUGGAGUGUAGGCUUGGGGUCAAACCGGCCGCAUAGACCGACAAACGCCAAGCACCGAGAUCGGAUGGGAUGGGACGCGGCGGGAGACACGCAUAGCCGCAAGUCAACAGCAGGAAAGCAGCCACAAAGAUCCAAAGAACAGGCAAGGCAGCGGCAAGGCGACAGCAACAAGGACGCGCGACAGUCUUCACGCGGUUAACAGCUACCUUAGCAUGUCACAGCCAACAGCAGCCAACCACGUGCCCAUGUGCAGCGCCAAACUUGGGUUUUUAUUGUCUCGAACAGAAUCUGAAAAUGAAGCGAAAGCUAUUAGUGCAGUUGCCUGAAGUUGGAUGUAGCUUAAGAAAGUUAGCGACUUCAGACUUAAGAGCUUUAAACCUUAAGAGAAC
RNAcentral lists this long non-coding RNA (697 nucleotides) under Drosophila guanche. The record is from RNAcentral. Lineage: Eukaryota; Metazoa; Arthropoda; Insecta; Diptera; Drosophilidae.